RNAcentral lists this ribosomal RNA (1378 nucleotides) under uncultured bacterium. RNAcentral's name for it is "bacterial SSU rRNA". It matches the Rfam family "Bacterial small subunit ribosomal RNA", at positions 28 to 1381 of the family's 1533-position model. The record is from RNAcentral.
GACGAACGCUGGCGGCGUGCCUAAUACUUGCCAGUCAAGCGAAGUUUUUCUGGCGCUUGCUCUACAAAAACUUAACGGCGAACGGGUGAGUAACACGUAUAGAACCUGCCUCAUAGACUGGGACAACUAUUGGAAACGAUAGCUAAUACCGGAUAACAGUAUUUCUCGCAUGAGAGAUAUUUAAAAGUUGGUUAUGCUAACACUAUGAGAUGGCUUUGCGGUGCAUUAGCUAGUUGGUGGGGUAAAGGCCCACCAAGGCGACAAUGCAUAACCGACCUGAGAGGGUGAUCGGACUACACUGGGACUGACACACGGCCCAGACUCCUACGGGAGGCAGCAGUAGGGAAUCUUCCGCAAUGGGCGAAAGCCUGACUGAUCAACGCCGCGUGAGUGAAGAAGGAUUUCGGUUCGUAAAGCUCUGUUGUUAGGGAAGAAUGGAUAUGUACUAACUAUACAUGUAAGAGACGGUACCUAACCAGAAAGCCACGGCUAACUACGUGCCAGCAGCCGCGGUAAUACAUAGGUGGCAAGCGUUGUCCGGAAUUAUUGGGCGUAAAGCGCGCGCACGUGGUUUAAUAAGUCUGAUGUGAAAGCCCACGGCUCAACCGUGGAGGGUCAUUGGAAACUGUUAAACUUGAGUGCAGGAGAGAAAAGUGGAAUUCCUAGUGUAGCGGUGAAAUGCGUAGAGAUUAGGAGGAACACCAGUGGCGAAGGCGGCUUUUUGGCCUGUAACUGACACUGAGGCGCGAAAGCGUGGGGAGCAAACAGGAUUAGAUACCCUGGUAGUCCACGCCGUAAACGAUGAGUGCUAAGUGUUGGUCCCAUAAGAGAUCAGUGCUGCAGCUAACGCAUUAAGCACUCCGCCUGGGGAGUACGACCGCAAGGUUGAAACUCAAAGGAAUUGACGGGGACCCGCACAAGCGGUGGAGCAUGUGGUUUAAUUCGAAGCAACGCGAAGAACCUUACCAAGUCUUGACAUACUGUGAGGACACAAGAGAUUGUGUUGUUCUGACCUUUGGUUAGACACAGAUACAGGUGGUGCAUGGUUGUCGUCAGCUCGUGUCGUGAGAUGUUGGGUUAAGUCCCGCAACGAGCGCAACCCUUAUAUCUAGUUGCCAGCAGUAAGAUGGGGACUCUAGAUAGACUGCCAGUGAUAAACUGGAGGGAGGUGGGGAUGACGUCAAAUCAUCAUGCCCCUUAUGACUUGGGCUACACACGUGCUACAAUGGAUAGGAACAAAGAGAAGCGAGCUCGCGAGAGUCAGCCAACCUCAUAAAACUAUUCUCAGUUCGGAUUGUAGUCUGCAACUCGACUACAUGAAGCUGGAAUCGCUAGUAAUCGCGAAUCAGAAUGUCGCGGUGAAUACGUUCCCGGGUCU